AACAGAGAUGGCAUUUUAAUGGAUUAAAGAAAUCCAAGCCAUGUGAUAAUUUGGAAAUGAACUAUAGGCAUUUACAACAUGAUAAAGAAGAUGGAAAAGAUGUUUAAUCUUUUAGGAGAUAUAAAGAAUGUCAUGAUCAUAUAGUGAAUAUUAAGGAUAAGCAAACAAGAGCCACCUAAGAUGAUGUUCAAGAUUCUUCUUUGAAAGAAAAAUAACAAGUUCUGAAUAUACUCAAGAUGAGAAAAUCAUAUAAGAGAUAAAUGAGGAAAGCAAAGAAGACUCACCUCAAAUCCAUAAAUGCCCUACCUUGUUCUGGAUUCUGUUGUGGUACUUUCAUAUUUUCAUGCAUAAAAACUACUUAGCUGCACAGUGCAUAA
This is a long non-coding RNA of Carlito syrichta (Philippine tarsier), 377 nucleotides long. RefSeq lists it as uncharacterized. Lineage: Eukaryota; Metazoa; Chordata; Mammalia; Primates; Tarsiidae. The transcript is spliced from 3 exons. The record is from RefSeq and is a predicted model, not a curated record.